GGGGAAUAUUGGACAAUGGGCGAAAGCCUGAUCCAGCAAUGCCGCGUGGAUGAAGAAGGUCUUCGGAUUGUAAAGUCCUUUCGGCGGGGACGAUGAUGACGGUACCCGCAGAAGAAGCCCCGGCUAACUUCGUGCCAGCAGCCGCGGUAAUACGAAGGGGGCUAGCGUUGCUCGGAAUGACUGGGCGUAAAGGGCGCGUAGGCGGUUUGAUCAGUUAGGUGUGAAAUUCCUGGGCUUAACCUGGGGGCUGCACUUAAUACGGUCAGACUAGAGUGUGGAAGAGGGUCGUGGAAUUCCCAGUGUAGAGGUGAAAUUCGUAGAUAUUGGGAAGAACACCGGUGGCGAAGGCGGCGACCUGGUCCAUUACUGACGCUGAGGCGCGAAAGCGUGGGGAGCAAAC
Molecule: ribosomal RNA, 400 nt
Filed under: uncultured bacterium
Lineage: Bacteria
Description: bacterial SSU rRNA
Rfam family: Bacterial small subunit ribosomal RNA
Source: RNAcentral